This 45-nucleotide non-coding RNA is filed under the name Carnobacterium sp. RNAcentral describes it as "PreQ1-I sequence". It matches the Rfam family "PreQ1 (pre queuosine) riboswitch aptamer". Rfam says of the family: This family is a bacterial riboswitch that binds to the metabolite preQ1, an intermediate in the biosynthesis of the modified nucleoside queuosine from GTP. One example of this riboswitch is located in the leader of the Bacillus subtilis ykvJKLM (queCDEF) operon which encodes four genes necessary for queuosine production. The record is from RNAcentral. Lineage: Bacteria; Bacillati; Bacillota; Bacilli; Lactobacillales; Carnobacteriaceae.
GAAUAUGUGGUUCGCAACCAUCCCACAUAAAAAAACUAGGAGGAU